UAAGGCAAACUAAAAAGCGUAGUAUUUAAACCACGCUAGUUCUUGCCUGCUGAACUCAUUGUGUAAAGGACCUGUAAAGGUCUUUUU
Non-coding RNA from Streptococcus pyogenes MGAS10270, 87 nucleotides. Lineage: Bacteria; Bacillati; Bacillota; Bacilli; Lactobacillales; Streptococcaceae. The record is from Rfam.